Molecule: long non-coding RNA, 3043 nt
Filed under: Heterocephalus glaber (naked mole-rat)
Lineage: Eukaryota; Metazoa; Chordata; Mammalia; Rodentia; Bathyergidae
Description: lncRNA (ENSHGLG00000046115.1)
Source: RNAcentral
GUGAGGGGAGCUGGGGCUGGAGCAGGAACAGAGCGGGGGCGGCUCCAGGGCAGCUGGGGAGGCGAGUCGAGCGAGCGAGCGAGCGAGGUCCCAGGGUGCUGCUGCAGCGCUCAGCUCUCAUGUGUGGCCCCGCCUGGCUCUCGUGACCCCUGCUCCCGUCAGCUCUGCCCUCUCCAACUGGGAAGACCGGUGGCCAGCGAAGGGGAGACUGUUCCGCUCCAGUCCCAGCUGCACGUGGUGCCUCUGCCUCGGUCCCCGUCUCAGUCCCUCAGCGAAGUCUUUGCCCUGCUCAGGAGCCCGGCUUCUGCUGCCACUAGCGGGGCCUCGUGCUCCCAGUGGGGUGAGCAGGACAGCGGGCACCUGUGUCUGGCACUUGUUCUUGACCUCCGAGUCCUGGAGACCUGAAAGCCAGGAGGCCGCAUGGGACCUUUCCACCUGGGGUCCUGCAGAGGCGCCUGGGCCAAGGUGGCAGGCAGGACCCGGGUGAGGUUGGCGGCCAGGCCUCAGACUCCGUGUGUGGGACAUGUGCUGUCCGGGAGCCAGAAGCUGACCUUCCUGAAGGCUCCUGCUUAUCUGAUUUCAUCCCUGGAGCAGCCAUGUGACACAGCCGUGAUUUCCCUCUCGUCACUGAAGGAGCUGUAGUUAUUAAGUGACCUAGCCAAGGUCAUGCGCAGGAGAGGACAGAACCUCAGAAGGUCCGGAUUCUCUGCUUCUGGGCUGAGGCGCUGCCAGCCGCCGACCUUUGCGUGUGCAGAGGUGCGCUGCGGCCUUGGGUGGGAUCUCAGGCUUCCCCAGCAGAUCUGUGCGGAUGCUGGGGCCUCGCCCAACACGGGAUGCGUCACCUGUGGCUGGCUGAUGGACAGCACCUGCGGGCUAGGGGGAAACAUGGAGACCCUGGAAAGCUGGCUUCAGCUCUGUCCUUGGUCCCCCAGGCGACUUGUGGAGGGAAGCCUUGCCGUGCAGUGGGAUCUAGGUGAGAGGACUCAGGGCCUCUGGGUUUCCUGGGACCCUGAGUGCAACCCCCUCUUUUAAGGGGUGCGGAGGCAGAGCACUGAACUCCAUUUGGCCUGCUCAGUGACCUUCCUUUGAAUAAACCCAGAAUCCGUAUACAGGGAUGAAGGGAUGCUUGCUUUUUUUUUUUUUUUCUUUCUUUCUUUUUUUUUGGUACCGGGGACCGAACCUGGGUCCUCAGCUUGUGAGGCAGGUGUUGGAACCACUGAGCUAAAUCCCCGGCCCCAGGGGAUGCUUGCUUUGAUGCUGGCAAGUUUGGUUACGAGGCUUCUUCCGCAGGACUCCCUGAGGCAUGGCCGAGGGCGGGUGGGUAGCGUGUCCGUGUGUCUGGCUCCAUGCGUGCAGCCCUGCACGUGUGGGGGACCGGGGCGCCAUUGGUGGAGGCUUCGCAGCCUCGGGGUCGGGAUGCGUCCGGCCAGACCUGGCACUCUGCUCGCCUGAGACUGGAAGAGGACGGAGGGUGGUGUAGUGGGAUGCAGAGCCCCGUGCACCAGCUCUGCUCAGGGUUCCCCAGGAGAGACGAGGCCUUGGCUGACUCUGGGAGACCGGGCGUUCUCGACAGGGUGUGCCUGGUCCGAGGUCGGGGACUCCCGUGACCCUCCCUGGGGGAGCAUGAGGUUGGGGGCCAGGAUCUGGAGCGGCUCUUUCAUUCCACCCCCGUCUUCCCUGUGUUUAGAGGAAGUCCUAAACUGGGGAGAGCCUGGAGCCUGGAACAGGAACCGCUUUCCCCUGCAGGGAGGACUUCUGCCCUGACCAGAGUCCAGGCCCUGAUGUUCUUUGCAUAUGAAAGGUGAAUGUGGCCCCCCACUCUCCAGGACAGAGCCCCUGCUGCUCUGACGCUGUAUUUCUCGGUCACCACUGCUCACCCCCGCCGAGUCUGCUCAGUCCUUGGACCUUCGAUGGGCGCUGUGGGUGUGUGUGGGUGAGGGUGGAGUGGUGUCCUGGGGAAGAGGCAGGACCACGCGUGGCUUGCAGGCAGAAGGCAGGAGGUGCAGAGGAGUCUCGGGCAGGCCCAGCUGUGGGAGGCACAGGCUGCCUGGGGUUGGGUGCAGAUGGGCUUUCCGUGAAGUCUCAGGUAAGUCAGUGGCUCAGUGAGAGUUGUAUUCAGCACAGAAAACCCCGCGUGCUUUCGUCUUACCCCCAGGUGCAGGUUUACGUCCUAGGGCCUUAUGGGCCAGCGGCGUUGGCUAAGUCCGCAGGACCACGCUUGUUUCUUACAGGCUUUUCUCUGUUCUUUCCCACUCCUCACUCCCUCAUUCCUUGGGCGCCUGUAUGGAGCGCAGUUGUGCCUCAGUGUCUGGCGGGUCGGGUCCCACAGCCACAGUGCUGAGUCCCUGCCGUGGAAUGGCAGAGCAUUUACAUUUAACCUACACAUGUCCUCCCGUGUGCUUUGCAUCAUCUCCAGAUGAUUUACAGCAUCGACUACAGUGGAAAUGCUGUGCGAAUAGCUGUCACAUGGUUAGGAAUAAUGAAUGGCAUGAAUAAAAUCCUACACGCGUGGCGCAGGUGCAGCUUCUUUCAUCCAGGCACUUUCAGUCGAGGGUUGGACACGCUCUGUGCCGUGCAGUUCUGUUGUCUCGAGGCCUGGGUCUUGAGCGUGGCUGGCGAGAGUGAAAUGUGUGGGGAGCUGUGCAGGGCGCAGGGCACUGGCUCCGGCGCCUCCAGCGGCCUGGGGGACGGAGGGCUGAGGAACGUGAGCGAGUGCGGACCCUGCAUGCCUCUUACUGGAUGGGGCGCUCAGGCGCGAGCCGUUCUCCAGCCCUCCUGAGCUGUUGCCUCUUUGCAGCUGGGCCCUGCGUGGUGUCCCUGGAGGUCUGAGACCACGCGUCGCCCUGCCGGCUGGGACGAGAAGAGAGGCAGACACAGGGAGGAAGGGCCGCGGGCUGCUGCCUCUCCCCAUGCAGCCUCCAAAGAAUUUAAUCUGCUGGACAACAAACAAUACUGUUAUAAAACUCGGAAAACAGGAGGGUGAGGCCUCCAGACAAGGAGAAGGGCAUGCCGGGUAACGGCCCUAGGGAGCGCGCCAGGCCCG